Molecule: long non-coding RNA, 740 nt
Organism: Oreochromis niloticus (Nile tilapia)
Lineage: Eukaryota; Metazoa; Chordata; Actinopteri; Cichliformes; Cichlidae
Exons: 4
Source: RefSeq, a predicted model, not a curated record
UGUUGCUUCCUUUGGGCUCUAUCUCUAUGGUCCAGUUUUGCUUUUAGGUUACAUGAGAAGAAAUUUUCUUUUAUAUCUCAGUCACACUAGAGUAAAAAGAGGACAGCGUCUAGGAAAUAAUUAUAUGGAUUGACGGUUGAGGAUGCAUAGCCCACAACCUCUGGGGGACCAAUUUUGAUUGAAAUGCAGUAGCAAAGGUCACCAGCUGGUGGCUGACCUGACUCUAAACAGUCGCAGACUCAAACAGAGGGCAAAGGUUUGCAAAUAAGUACCACCUAACUUAUGAACACAGAUGGAUUCUCACCAAACUGCAGUAAGUCUGUCUCUUUCCAAUAGAGGACUUGACUCACCUGUUUGCCUAAGGGUUUUGUUCUGGGUUCCUAUAUAAAAGCAAGGCUGACUGGACUCUGCAUUAUUUUUGCAAGCAUUGAGGUGAUGAGGCUUAAAGCCCCUAGGGUCAGUAGCCUGAAUGUUGUUAUGGUCUUGAAGAAGAACGCCAAAUCAGACUGUACAAAUGCAUCCUUGAAGAAUUUACAGAAUCAGUCAGAUCCAAACAUAACAUACACCUGCAAAGACGUGGCUGAACAUCGGGUUGAGCAAUGCGGGUCCCAACCAAAGAUAAGGUGUGGAGCCUGCUGGUGAACAUGUCUGAUUAUAUCAGACACAACACAGUACCACUGAGUAUUUUUGUACAUGUGAAAUAUAUUUGUCUAAUCAACAUCUCUAAUACUGCUGCUAUC